Molecule: unclassified non-coding RNA, 535 nt
Filed under: Aspergillus montevidensis
Lineage: Eukaryota; Fungi; Ascomycota; Eurotiomycetes; Eurotiales; Aspergillaceae
Description: sequence contains ITS1, 5.8S rRNA gene, ITS2
Rfam family: 5.8S ribosomal RNA (bases 155-308)
Source: RNAcentral
AAGGAUCAUUACCGAGUGCGGGCCCUCUGGGUCCAACCUCCCAUCCGUGUCUAUCUGUACCCUGUUGCUUCGGCGUGGCCACGGCCCGCCGGAGACUAACAUUUGAACGCUGUCUGAAGUUUGCAGUCUGAGUUUUUAGUUAAACAAUCGUUAAAACUUUCAACAACGGAUCUCUUGGUUCCGGCAUCGAUGAAGAACGCAGCGAAAUGCGAUAAUUAAUGUGAAUUGCAGAAUUCAGUGAAUCAUCGAGUCUUUGAACGCACAUUGCGCCCCCUGGUAUUCCGGGGGGCAUGCCUGUCCGAGCGUCAUUGCUGCCCUCAAGCACGGCUUGUGUGUUGGGCUUCCGUCCCUGGCAACGGGGACGGGCCCAAAAGGCAGUGGCGGCACCAUGUCUGGUCCUCGAGCGUAUGGGGCUUUGUCACCCGCUCCCGUAGGUCCAGCUGGCAGCUAGCCUCGCAACCAAUCUUUUUAACCAGGUUGACCUCGGAUCAGGUAGGGAUACCCGCUGAACUUAGCAUAUCGAUAAGCGGAGGAA